Molecule: long non-coding RNA, 1461 nt
Filed under: Homo sapiens (human)
Lineage: Eukaryota; Metazoa; Chordata; Mammalia; Primates; Hominidae
Description: HSALNT0287388
Source: RNAcentral
UUCUAGGAAAACCAAAACAUGCUGAUCCUCAGUGGGCUUGUGCUGUGUCUGCCUCUGAAGUGCUGCUGCUGCCCCCAUUUCUGCCACCUCCCAAGUGCCAUCUCUUUUUUCAGCAUCUCCUAUGGCAUUUGGGCCUACAAGUUAGAACUUGAUCUCUUCUAACUCCUAUUACAACUAGUUGGGACUUCUAGUCUCUCCCACUAGACUGUACACUAGUUGGGGAGAGGAGGACAUGGCUGGUGGCUUUUUUAUCUCUGUGCUACCCACAGCACAGGUUUUGAACACGUAUCCUCAAUCAAAGUUGUGACAUUGAGUUGCAGUGAGAAUCUUACUAGGGCCACCUUUCUGGCUCCCAUCCCUCACCUCCAACCCUCACCCACCCUGUUUCUGCUCCUCUGCCCACUAAACUCUGCUGUUAUAAGAACUCUUAUAACCUAGUGGUUAAGGAAGGGUUGAGGAAUAUAUUGAAGCCAGAAGAAGGAGAAUUUACAAAAUGUGUUCCCAGUGUAAUUCCCCAUCAGAUUCCUUAGGGUACAUAUCUGAUCUAGUGCACUUAAAAUGCACAUUACCUUGGGAGUGUCACCUCCACUUUGGUGCCUCAUGUUCCAUUUAGACAUAUGACACUGGCACUGGGCUUUCCAUAGGUCUCAGGGCUGGGCCCAGACAGCCAGAAUUCCCUACCUCACCUCUCAAAAAGGCCCCGAGAGCUGCAAGACAAAUUAGAGCAGGUGUUGCCUCUAGGAAUGCAUGGGGCCAUAGAAGCACACACUACCACACACACACAAAAAUCCUUUCUAGAAUUGCAGACUGCCAACUGGUAAUCCAGCCUCUAUAUCCCCCCUGCCCUCCAGGAACAAGGAGCUCAGUGUCUUUCAAGAUAGUGUACUAGCAUGUCUUGCCUCCAUGAGUAGUCCAUUGGUGGCAGAGGUCAGCAUAAGUGUCCUCUGUCCCCAUUCAGGAUGCUCACCUCUGUUAACCUUGCCCGAGACUUGUCGGUGACCACAUCACACUGCCUUGACCUGACUGUCAACAAGCCCCCCAAAUAUCUAUGCAAGCACUGCCAAGUCUUCUCUGACCUGCCCCCAGUGGAUUUUUUAGACCCAAAUGUGUGUCCCCACAUUGAUCCUUGGUGCAUCUCACCUAUAAGUCCACAAGGAAGACACACAGGACCCAGUGGGAAAGCAGCCAGGUUGCAGUGCAACGAACUAGACUUGGAGUUGAAGGCCUGCACUUGAAUCUGGGUUCCCCCACCAUUUUCUAGCUGUGGGAUCAUGGACAAGACACUAUCUCUUUCUGAACAUUUGUUUAUCUUAUCUGGAAAUGGUUUAUUAUGAGGAUCUGAUGACCUAAUGGGUGCAGUAGUCACCUGAUCAACUGCAAAGACCUGAUGAAAGCAGCAGCUUGGCCAUAGGAGAAAAUAACUGGACUGGAGAACUUCCAACACCAAAUAUGGAAAGGAAC